RNAcentral lists this ribosomal RNA (619 nucleotides) under Pseudomonas koreensis. RNAcentral's name for it is "bacterial SSU rRNA". It matches the Rfam family "Bacterial small subunit ribosomal RNA", at positions 104 to 719 of the family's 1533-position model. The record is from RNAcentral. Lineage: Bacteria; Pseudomonadati; Pseudomonadota; Gammaproteobacteria; Pseudomonadales; Pseudomonadaceae.
GGGUGAGUAAUGCCUAGGAAUCUGCCUGGUAGUGGGGGACAACGUUUCGAAAGGAACGCUAAUACCGCAUACGUCCUACGGGAGAAAGCAGGGGACCUUCGGGCCUUGCGCUAUCAGAUGAGCCUAGGUCGGAUUAGCUAGUUGGUGAGGUAAUGGCUCACCAAGGCGACGAUCCGUAACUGGUCUGAGAGGAUGAUCAGUCACACUGGAACUGAGACACGGUCCAGACUCCUACGGGAGGCAGCAGUGGGGAAUAUUGGACAAUGGGCGAAAGCCUGAUCCAGCCAUGCCGCGUGUGUGAAGAAGGUCUUCGGAUUGUAAAGCACUUUAAGUUGGGAGGAAGGGUUGUAGAUUAAUACUCUGCAAUUUUGACGUUACCGACAGAAUAAGCACCGGCUAACUCUGUGCCAGCAGCCGCGGUAAUACAGAGGGUGCAAGCGUUAAUCGGAAUUACUGGGCGUAAAGCGCGCGUAGGUGGUUCGUUAAGUUGGAUGUGAAAUCCCCGGGCUCAACCUGGGAACUGCAUCCAAAACUGGCGAGCUAGAGUAUGGUAGAGGGUGGUGGAAUUUCCUGUGUAGCGGUGAAAUGCGUAAAUAUAGGAAGGAACAGCAGUGGCGAA